GAUGAAGAACGUAGCGAAAUGCGAUACUUGGUGUGAAUUGCAGAAUCCCGUGAACCAUCGAGUCUUUGAACGCAAGUUGCGCCCGAAGCCGUUAGGCCGAGGGCACGUCUGCCUGGGCGUCACGCACCGUCGCCCCCUCCCCAAACCAGUCUUUUUGACGGGAUUGGGUGGGGCGGAUAUUGGCCUCCCGUGCGAAUGCGUGCGGCUGGCCCAAAAUCGAGUCCCCGGCUUUGUUUGCCGCGACAUUCGGUGGUUGUCGAUCUUUCGGUGCCCUGUCGCGCGCAAAGUAGCUUAGCCGAGGGAUUGUGAGCAAAGACCCUAACGCGCGCUUUGAUGGACCCAUUGAGGCGCCCUCGACGCGACCCCAGGUCAGGCGGGGCUACCCGCUGAGUUUAAGCAUAUCAAUAAGCGGAGGA
This 416-nucleotide unclassified non-coding RNA is filed under the name soil metagenome. RNAcentral's name for it is "partial contains 5.8S ribosomal RNA, internal transcribed spacer 2, and large subunit ribosomal RNA". The stretch from base 1 to 122 matches the Rfam family "5.8S ribosomal RNA", at positions 35 to 154 of the family's 154-position model. The record is from RNAcentral.